GAUAAGAGCGAAGUUCGCAUUCGGGAAAUUUUUUUGUAUCCAGGAUACACACAACUCGAAAGAAGGUGUUUGCUUGAGAACAAAAACUGAGUAAAAAGUUGGUUGAAAUAAAAAAAAAUUCUCUUCUUUAGCUUUUAUUCUCCUCGAAAAUUCGGUUAAGCGCGAUAUGGAUUCAAAUAACUCCUGUAUACCCUUUCCCAUUUCUGUACAAUAACUGCUACUCCAGCUACUACCAGCUACUGUGAUUGUACUGUUAACAACGGACAACGGUGGUGCUCGGUUACCUACUGUUGGAAGAAGAACAGAAACGCUCUUCUAGGAUGACAACGCGGCACUCCAAAUCUGCUCCACUCUACAACUAUUACGUUUAUCUCUGUGAGUUGUUGCUGUGUUAUAUUUUUUUUUUUGUGUGUCCUUUUUUGUUGCUGCUCCUGCUGCUGCUUCUGCUUACUCUCGUGUAUAUGUGUGUGAGUGCGUAUGUGUUCUGGUUUCCUUUUUUUUCCGAUCCGAAUUGGGGGGCUAAAACAGCGCAAAAUUUCAGGGCGUUUAGUCCCAGACCGACUUUUCAUUGAAACGGAUUUUUCGGUGAAAUAUUCUCGUGAACUAAAAAUAGUCCAGUAGUGUCGCACCAGACUGACUGGCUGGCUGGUUGGUUGGCUUGGCUUGGUUGGCUUGGUUGCUUUGGUCCUUAGCACUUUGCUCUCGAAAAAAGUAUUAGUGCUCCACUUUAUACAUCACGGGACUAUUCUAUACACGAUGAUGACGACAAUCGCCCGCCGACAAAGCAGCAGCGGGCCAAGGGGAGCCAAGCGCAGGGUUGCCCAUAUCCUCUCGACUCGAACUCAACAACACACUGCUUCCAGCUAUACUCGACAAAGCUACACCUCGGAAAAGGCACUGACUUUGAUUUUAGUCGAUAACGAGUCCGGUUAGUAGUCUAACGGUGGUGGUGGUGGUAGUAGGUUCGAGCGUUACAAUUUUUCAGACAAAAAAAAAAGUGUGUUUUUUUUUUGGUUUUUUUGCGGGUGUGUAGUAAAACGGUUGUUUGUUGUUGUAAAAAUCUUUUUUUUUGUUUGUUUGUUCCUGAUCCUACUGCCUUGUAUUUUACUGAGUUGGCCAUUGAAUGUCCUUGUUUCCUAUUUUAAUAAUUUUGUUUCUGUUAACUGAAGUUUUUGAAACUUUUUUUUUUUUUGUUCAAAAGUGAAAAGUGGUUUUUUUUUUGAAAAUCGGAUCAAGUGUUAACAAUAAAUUGAAGAUUAUUUACAAAACUUGAGAAAUUUUAAUAAUUAGGUUAAACUUUGUAUUAAUUUCAGAAGUGAUAUGAUGAAAAACCCAUUUUAUUAAAUUAAUUUAACUGUGUGUGAUUUCAAAAAAAUUGACUUUUUUUUCAAAAACUCCGUUUCUGACCUACAUAUUCGAGUGCUAAACAAUUAUCAAAUUGGCGGUUAACUACUGAUAGCCUGGUGGUGAAAAACUAAGAAGACUUAAUUUAAUAUUCAUAAUAAUGGCUCUACACAAAAUGCUGAUACAAAAAUGUUUUUCCUCGAGAACAAAUUGAAACGAUUUUGACUGAGGCAACAAGUUUAUUAAAAGAUAUGUAAUUCAACAAAAUCUUGGCAAUUCUACUCCUAUGAUUGUCUUCAAAAUAAGUCAAAAUUAAACUUAAAUUGUCUUUAAGGUGACAAAAACACAAUAAACCCAUUGACUGAAAGUGUAUGCUUUCCCAAGGAUACAAAAGCACUGGAAUUGAAGAUGCUAAUACUGAUAUCACCACCAGAAGCGUCCGCCAGAGACAACAGCUGAAUUCUUGGUAUAAUAUAUGUAGCACCCAGGAUAUAAGUUAAGCACAACAUAUGCUAAUGGCGGAAAAAGGAUACGUGUUCAUUGAUUGAAAAAUAUAAAAAAAAAAAUAUACAAGAAAAAACAGAAGAAAAAAAAUGUAAUACGAAGGAUGAAACUAAUGGAAACCUUCAGAAUGAACAUUGGGGUUAGAAUAUAUAUUGUCGAGGACCAGCAACCAGCAGCAGCAUCACAAUGCUAUAAGGAUAUAUUGGAAUGUGAUUCAAUUUUAUGACCCUCAGUGAGGAUUUAAACAGAGGUCAAUUUUUCUAUCAGAUAUAAAAACCUAAUGAACAAGGUACGUUAAACCUGUUUCCGAACAUUUCAAAAAAAUAAUACUCUUUUUAGAGGAACUUUAACAACGGUGAAUAAUUUAUUAUUCUUGUUUCCUGAAUUUGAAUACUUACCUACUGUGCGAGGGUUUUCAUUUUAUAAACUUCAAGUUUGCAUGUUCAACAAAUGAACAAAACGAACCAAAAGAAAUAAAAUAAAGAGAAACUAAAGGUAUUACGUUUCAGAUUAAAAUCUCUUAAGAACCGCACCGGAAAGUAAAGUCAGAAACGAAAAAUCAAUGCCUUCUUACCCAUUUAAUUAAGGAGUUAGUAGAAGACGGAGCGUGUUCUUGUUAGGUUUGAUUUAAAAGCCUUUUUAUUUUUUGGUUUUCCUUUUACUUCCGAAUUCAUUUUGUAUCUGUAGGUAAAACGAAAUGAAAAAUUCAAACACAAUGGUUUUCAAAGGAAGAAGGGAUUAAUUA
Episyrphus balteatus (marmalade hoverfly) is the source of this 2593-nucleotide long non-coding RNA. RefSeq lists it as uncharacterized. The transcript has 6 exons. The record is from RefSeq and is a predicted model, not a curated record. NCBI's taxonomy places the organism in Eukaryota, Metazoa, Arthropoda, Insecta, Diptera, Syrphidae.